This 253-nucleotide ribosomal RNA is filed under the name uncultured bacterium. RNAcentral's name for it is "partial 16S ribosomal RNA". It matches the Rfam family "Bacterial small subunit ribosomal RNA", at positions 524 to 776 of the family's 1533-position model. The record is from RNAcentral.
UACGAGUGCCUCAAGCGUUAUCCGGAAUUAUUGGGCGUAAAGGGUGUGUAGGCGGUCUUAUUAGUCGUGCGUUAAAACCAGGAGCUCAACUCCUGAUCUGCGCAGGAAACGGUAAGACUUGAGUGCGCGAGAGGUUUGCAGAACUCAUGGUGUAGGGGUGAAAUCCGUUGAUAUCAUGGGGAAUACCAAAUGCGAAGGCAGCAAACUGGCGCGUCACUGACGCUGAAACACGAAAGCGUGGGUAGCGAAUGGG